Molecule: long non-coding RNA, 1368 nt
Filed under: Dasypus novemcinctus (nine-banded armadillo)
Lineage: Eukaryota; Metazoa; Chordata; Mammalia; Cingulata; Dasypodidae
Description: lncRNA (ENSDNOG00000052129.1)
Source: RNAcentral
GGAGGGAGGAGCGAGGGCGGGAGGGGGAGGAGGGAGCCGAGCAGGGAGGGAGGUGGGAGGGGUGGGGAGGGAGAAAAAGAAAGAAAAUAUUUUCCGUGUCCCCGCCUGCAGAGUCAGUGUGCGGUUUGGGAGAAAAUGUGUCGGAUAUUUUGGGGCGGUCACGUGGGCGGGCGGGCUCCGAGAGGCCCCGGGACAGUCCCAGCCUAGAGCCGUGCCCCCCAGAGCCCCCCAUUACCGCGAGCCCCUGACACUGCGACGCUCCAUCCCCGCGACCAUCCGACGCCGGGACCUUGGGGCUCGGCGGGCUCCCUUCCCCCUCCCUCCCCCUCCAGGACUCUUGGAGACCCAGUGGGCAGGCCGGGCAGGGUGGGCACGGAGCCCCCCAGGCCAGGGCAGUGGGCAUGGGCGGGGGCUGAAGACCUCCCCUGCCCACUGCAGAUCCCAGGGGACUCAGCCUCCCACACCGCAGCUGCCAUGGCCACCAAUAAGGAGCGACUCUUUGUACCUGGCGCCCUGGGGCCCGGAUCUGGCUACCCAGGGGCAGGCUUCCCCUUUGCCUUUCCAGGGGCACUCAGGGGGUCUCCGCCUUUCGAGAUGCUGAGCCCUAGUUUCCGGGGCCUGGGCCAGCCUGACCUCCCCAAGGAGAUGGCCUCUCUGUGUGAGUCUCAGGGAUCUUGGGGGUGAGGGCAUGUGGAAACAGGACGGGCAUUUGGAGGGUGGAUGAGUGGAGGAUAUGGAAAAUUAUGAUGGGAGGCAGGGGACGGUUGGCUCUGAUAGAGGAGAUGGAAGUGGUGGCAAGGAAGGGGUCUGGAUGUGGGACAAAUGGAAAUGUUUUCAAAUGAAAGGACUCCUACUCAAAUAGGAGAGGCAAGUAGCAUGCCUAAAAUUGAGGAGUGAAAAAGUCUACCUCGUUGAAGGCUGAGCUUUCCUCCUGAGUCAGUCAACCAGCAAAGAGCACCAGAUCAGGCCUGGGGAAGGCUGGGGCUGAGGCCUGCUUGCAGAGGAGGGGGCAGGUGGGUGGGUGGGAGAGAGCUGGGCUAGGAAAUAGAGGUGUUUCAGAGACCAGUCAGUUGGCUCUGUGAUUCAGAGGUAAAACAGUCUUGAAUUUGAGAGAGGCUGCACGAAGCGAGCAAAGAUAAUCUAGUGCUAGGUGGCCAACGAUGUUGUGGGGUCAGGGGGACUCUCCUGCUUGGUUUUGGGGGAUGGCAACAGUCAUAAAGGUGACUCGUGCACCAUAAGUAAUCCAGGGAGGCAGAAGUGGUGUUCCAGAAGCAUCCUCUCCUCUAGCCAGGUGGGUUCUGGACUCCUCCCCUGCCUCCAGGUCUGGCCCAUGGCCCACAGGCUGUGCAGAUCCCUACUUGUCCCUCA